RNAcentral lists this ribosomal RNA (927 nucleotides) under Triticum aestivum (bread wheat). RNAcentral describes it as "partial small subunit ribosomal RNA". The record is from RNAcentral. Lineage: Eukaryota; Viridiplantae; Streptophyta; Magnoliopsida; Poales; Poaceae.
AUGGAGCAGUUCCAUCACGGCCAGCACGUGCGGCUGCGCAGCCGCGUGCACGGCACGUACCUACACGCCGACGAGGACGGGCAUGGCGUCUCCCUCCACCACCGCCGGGCGUCGAUGAACGCGGCUUGGGCGGUGCACUUGCACCAGUUCCAGAACGCGCAGUACCUGCUCCUCCACAGCGCCGCCUACGGCCGCUACCUCGCCGCCACGGACGCGCCGGCGCCGCUAGGCCACCGCGGGCUCCGCGUCGAGCAGCGCAACUACAACCAUCCCGAAGUGGAUGCAUUGGUUUGGCAGGCCAUCCUGUCGGAAUCCGGGGAAGAGGUCUACCUCCGCCACAUCGGCGGCCGCCGCCUCCGCGCCAACGGGAGGCACUGGAACACCGACGCCAGCGUUGACUACGCCGACGACCUCGACAACAUCAGCAGGAAGAUGCUCUGGGUCGUGGAGGACAUCCCCGCCAGGGAGGUCGCGCCUCCCCUUCCACGUCCGACUGGGGUGAGCCCGCCAUGCCCGUUCCUUGAUUUGCGUGAAUUGAGCUCUGUUCUUGCCAAAUUUGCGCUUCUUGGUUUCUUUGAUUUGAUGAUGGUUCUUUGCGACUACGGAUUGCAGCUUCCCCACCUGACGUUGCGGUCGCGGCUGAUCAUGUACGUGUUGCCGACCGUCUACGGGGCCCUCCUCGCCCGCGGCACGUUCGUGUUCAGGGGGAGGUCCGUGUUCCGCCUGAGGAAGGAGCUGGCCAGGCAGCUGGGCGUUUUCGUAAACGUGGAGGUCUCCGACCUCUUCAUGUGCCUCCCCACACAGGAUGGCCGGCUUUUUCCACUCGUCGUCGACCUGCCCCGCAGCGGCCAGACCCUCCACAUCAUCGUCGCCGUCGCCGGGACGCCUGCCCAGGCGGCACUGCGGUACGCGGAUGUCGAUGCAUAA